GCCGGUGUAGCUCAGUGGUAGAGCGCUUGACUUGUAAUCAAGCGGUCUGUGGUUCAAUCCCGCACUCCGGCA
This 72-nucleotide transfer RNA is filed under the name Haematococcus lacustris. RNAcentral describes it as "Haematococcus pluvialis tRNA". It matches the Rfam family "tRNA". From Rfam's summary of the family: Transfer RNA (tRNA) molecules are approximately 80 nucleotides in length. Their secondary structure includes four short double-helical elements and three loops (D, anti-codon, and T loops). Further hydrogen bonds mediate the characteristic L-shaped molecular structure. tRNAs have two regions of fundamental functional importance: the anti-codon, which is responsible for specific mRNA codon recognition, and the 3' end, to which the tRNAs corresponding amino acid is attached (by aminoacyl-tRNA synthetases). tRNAs cope with the degeneracy of the genetic code in two manners: having more than one tRNA (with a specific anti-codon) for a particular amino acid; and 'wobble' base-pairing, i.e. permitting non-standard base-pairing at the 3rd anti-codon position. The record is from Rfam by way of RNAcentral. Lineage: Eukaryota; Viridiplantae; Chlorophyta; Chlorophyceae; Chlamydomonadales; Haematococcaceae.